CCUACGGGAGGCAGCAGUGGGGAAUAUUGGACAAUGGGCGAAACCCUGAACCAGCGACGCCGCGUGAGGGAAGAAGUACUUCGGUACGUAAAGCUCUUUCAGCAGGAAAGAAAAUGACGGUACCUGACUAAGAAGCCCCGGGUAACUACGUGCCAGCAGCCGCGGGAAUACGUAGGGGGCCAGCGGUAUCCGGAUUUACUGGGGUGAAAGGGGGCGUAGAGGGCAGCACAAGGCUGGAGUGAAAUGGCGGGGGCCAACCGCGGAACUGCUCUGGAAACGGUGAAGCUGGAGUGCAGGAGAGGGAAGCGGAAUUCGUGGGGUAGCGGUGAAAUGAGUAGAGAUCAGGAGGAACACCGGCGGCGAAGGCGGCUUACUGGACUGUAACUGACGUUGAGGCUCGAAGGGGUGGGGAGCAAACAGGAUUAGAUACCCCUGUAGUC
Molecule: ribosomal RNA, 440 nt
Filed under: uncultured bacterium
Lineage: Bacteria
Description: partial 16S ribosomal RNA
Rfam family: Bacterial small subunit ribosomal RNA
Source: RNAcentral